AUUGAACGCUGGCGGCAUGCUUUACACAUGCAAGUCGAACGGUAACAGGUUAAGCUGACGAGUGGCGAACGGGUGAGUAAUGCAUCGGAACGUGCCCGGUCGUGGGGGAUAACGCAGCGAAAGCUGCGCUAAUACCGCAUACGAUCUGAGGAUGAAAGCGGGGGACCGUAAGGCCUCGCGCGAUCGGAGCGGCCGAUGUCAGAUUAGGUAGUUGGUGGGGUAAAGGCGCACCAAGCCGACGAUCUGUAGCUGGUCGGAGAGGACGACCAGCCACACUGGGCCUGAGACACGGCCCAGAAUCCUACGGGAGGCGGCAGUAGGGAAUUUUGGACAAUGGGCGCAAGCCUGAUCCAGCAAUGCCGCGUGCAGGAAGAAGGCCUUCGGGUUGUAAACUGCUUUUGUACGGAGCGAAAAGGCUCUCUCUAAUACAGGGGGCUCAUGACGGUACCGUAAGAAUAAGCACCGGCUAACUACGUGCCAGCCGCCGCGGUAA
This 493-nucleotide ribosomal RNA is filed under the name uncultured bacterium. RNAcentral describes it as "partial 16S ribosomal RNA". It matches the Rfam family "Bacterial small subunit ribosomal RNA", at positions 29 to 523 of the family's 1533-position model. The record is from RNAcentral.